GGAAAGGUGCGCCAAAGAAAACGAGGGCAAACUCUAUUGUCGACCAGAUAAAUAGCGAUCGCGAAAUCGUGUGUAGCAACUUCUAAAGGCGUGGUUUGUGUCGAAAAAGAGCGAUGACUUGGGUAAAGCUGUUGCUUCUAUUUUAUGUUUACUGUCAAGCGCUAUGUGAUGAUCAAAUUCCACAAAACAGAACCAAGCGUACAGUGUACCCAAUCUGGAAGCCACCGACGAACAAGGCUUAUGACCUAUGUGGGUUUGAACUGAAAGACAACGCCAUAUGCAAGCUGCCACCGUGGUGUACUGGAGGCAUGGGCAGGUGCUGUCGCUACGAGUGCGUCUGUCAUUCGAGACUGAACCCAUGCGCCUCUGGGAAAUGGACACAGCCUGAAAGAACCACGGCAGUGCCUCCGAAAAUGCCUGGACAGGGAGGGGAAUGCACUAUGAAUUGCGUACGGGAAUGCUUCAAGAAGUGCAAGGGUGGAAAGAAAAAUCCGGAAGAAUGCAUAGACCAUUGUGCUCCCGAUUGCCAGCGUCAAUGUGGUGGCCGAUGAAAGCAACAAUAAAAAUAAUCAGGUCAUCGAC
Molecule: long non-coding RNA, 582 nt
Organism: Dermacentor albipictus
Lineage: Eukaryota; Metazoa; Arthropoda; Arachnida; Ixodida; Ixodidae
Source: RefSeq, a predicted model, not a curated record